Cicer arietinum (chickpea) is the source of this 121-nucleotide non-coding RNA. The record is from Rfam. Lineage: Eukaryota; Viridiplantae; Streptophyta; Magnoliopsida; Fabales; Fabaceae.
AGCCUUGUGGUGAGUACAAAGCGAACUAUUCUUUCGCCUUUUACUAAAGAAUACCGUGUAUUCAUCACAUGACGAGGCAUAUGUCAAUUUUUUUUUGAAGGAUUUCUUUCUUGGAAGAAAU